RNAcentral lists this unclassified non-coding RNA (139 nucleotides) under soil metagenome. Its description in RNAcentral is "partial internal transcribed spacer 1". The record is from RNAcentral.
UAAUAAGUGUUUAUGGCACUUCUUAAAUCCAUAUCCACCUUGUGUGCAAUGUCAGCCGUUUUCUUUAUGAUAGCGGCCAAACAUCAACCUAUUUUUUAACUGUCUGUCUGAAAACUAUUAUGAAUAAACAAUUCAAAUA